UGCUAAUUCAGUCCUAAACCUCUAAAUUUGAUCAAUUUAGUCCUAAAUCUUUUAAUAAUUUGUCAAUAUAGUCUAUCCGGCCAAUUUUGAUGGGUUUAGGUUGCUUUGGAUGGUGGUUUUUCUUGGUUAUUAGCCGAAUUGCAUCCUAAUGGGCGCUUAAAUGUCAAAAAUACUCUUCAUCAGCUUAUCACACCAUAUGAUACAACUGUCACAUGAAAUAUCUGUUAUUCUACCGCAUCAUUUCUCUCUCUCUCUCUCUCUCUCUCUCUGC
RNAcentral lists this long non-coding RNA (271 nucleotides) under Eucalyptus grandis. RNAcentral describes it as "long non-coding RNA (EGRA_LNC007019)". The record is from RNAcentral. Lineage: Eukaryota; Viridiplantae; Streptophyta; Magnoliopsida; Myrtales; Myrtaceae.